This 153-nucleotide ribosomal RNA is filed under the name Klebsiella pneumoniae. RNAcentral describes it as "partial 16S ribosomal RNA". It matches the Rfam family "Bacterial small subunit ribosomal RNA", at positions 1382 to 1533 of the family's 1533-position model. Lineage: Bacteria; Pseudomonadati; Pseudomonadota; Gammaproteobacteria; Enterobacterales; Enterobacteriaceae. The record is from RNAcentral.
UGUACACACCGCCCGUCACACCAUGGGAGUUUGUUGCACCAGAAGUAGCUAGCCUAACUGCAAAGAGGGCGGUUACCACGGUGUGGCCGAUGACUGGGGUGAAGUCGUAACAAGGUAGCCGUAGGGGAACCUGCGGCUGGAUCACCUCCUUAA